This is a long non-coding RNA of Salvia splendens (bonfire salvia), 606 nucleotides long. RefSeq lists it as uncharacterized. The record is from RefSeq and is a predicted model, not a curated record. The transcript is spliced from 3 exons. NCBI's taxonomy places the organism in Eukaryota, Viridiplantae, Streptophyta, Magnoliopsida, Lamiales, Lamiaceae.
UUCAUCUUCACAAAUGAGUUUUCAGCUUUUCUUUUACCAUCAACUACCAAAAAUCCACCAUCAGGCUGCUUGAUGCUUCCAUAAACAAUGACACACUCUGCAUCCCUUCCUCAUCUCCUCCUCUUUUCAAAUCCAUGGAUCCUUACUAUAGUUACUAUUCGCUCUAUAAUGAUCGGUUAACUUAAUUAUCUGCCCCGAUCCAUUACAUAAUUCUUCCCUCUUUACAGACAUCACUCCAUACUGCGCCUCGUAUUCAUCCCAUCCCGAAUUAAGAUACGUAAAGGUCGGGCGCCUCAAGGCCUCAGAGGUGCCACAGACAUGUGGAUUGGAUCUAAUAGUGAUGACAUCGUGGCCGGGAUUCGAGUACUCGAAGAAGAAUGUUUCAUUUGAAGAAAUUCAGCAAUGAGUCUUGUAUGGAUUUGAACUCUCCUUCUGUCCUGAGUGCAGUGAACAAGUCAUAAUAUGGAGGAAACUUUUAUAUAAGUUAUUAGGACCACCUACACGAGUUUUCCUAAUUCCUCUGGCCAUUCUAGGUUAUUUUUCUUUGUCAUUUAUCGAUAUUCUCAGGAUUUGUUAAUAAUGGCUAUAAGAUUAUGAUACGCUCGA